This 467-nucleotide ribosomal RNA is filed under the name uncultured bacterium. Its description in RNAcentral is "partial 16S ribosomal RNA". It matches the Rfam family "Bacterial small subunit ribosomal RNA", at positions 28 to 507 of the family's 1533-position model. The record is from RNAcentral.
GACGAACGCUGGCGGCGUGCUUAACACAUGCAAGUCGAACGGAAAGGCCUCUUUCGGGGGGUACUCGAGUGGCGAACGGGUGAGUAACACGUGAGUAACCUGCCCUUGACUUUGGGAUAACUUCAGGAAACUGGGGCUAAUACCGGAUAGGAGCUCCUGCUGCACGGGGGGGGUUGGAAAGUUUCGGCGGUUGGGGAUGGACUCGCGGCGUAUCAGCUUGUUGGUGGGGUAGUGGCGUACCAAGGCUUUGGCGGGUAGCCGGCCUGGGAGGGUGACCGGCCCCCUUGGGGCUGGGAUUCGGCCCAGACUCCUACGGGGGGCAGCAGUGGGGAAUAUUGCACCAUGGGUGGGAGCCUGAUGCAGCAACGCCGUGUGCGGGAUGACGGCCUUCGGGUUGGAAACCGCCUUCGCUCAUGACGAAGCUUUGUGUGACGGUAGUGGGUAAAGAAGCACCGGCUAACUACGUG